CCUCAGUGUUACUCAUGCUGCCUCCAUCCCUGGUGCCCUCUCUGUAUCUCUGUGCCUUUGUGCACACUGCUUCCUCUGCCUGGAAGCCCUUCUUCCUUUCUCCACACAACACAUCCCUCCUUACUCAUUAAAGUCCCGUACAAAUGCUAAAGGCAGCUGAUCUUGUCAGCAAACUUGGCCACCAAAUAGAAAAUCUCCUUCUAUGCCCACUAGUCAUGGACAAAACUCAAAAGUUGCAUGGGAACUUCAGUUAUCGGGCAAUGUUACCAGGGUUUGGGGCAGAAGGAACAGAUAAAAGGGACAAUUCUAAGGAAGAUGAUUGAAAGACUGACCCCAAUGUGGAGAGGAUGAUUCCAGCACUACUCGUACUGCACUAGGAUCAGACAACUUGAAAUCUGCCUUUGCUUUUAUUGGGCAAUCUGUUCCAGGGAUCACAGCCCCUACCUGUAACUGUCACCUCUUUUGAGGUACAAUUACAUUCUUUCCUCUCAUCCCAUUGCAAUGUUUCCAUGCUGAGAGGGCUCCAGAGAGAUGUAGGGAAGCUCUGCUAGUCUCUGUGCUGAAGCUCAGUGCCUGGCAUACCUCUGCCUUUGAUGAGGCUCUGGCACAGCCCUGCAUCAUUCUUCAUUUGCCUGCGCAUUAAAGAAUGCCCCUGGUGGUCAUCAGAGCGCCUUGUGUCAGAGGCUUUGUCUACACCUCUCUGUGCCUAGGUUGCAAGCACAGCUUUGGAUUUUUUUUAUCCUCCUCUCAUGUACUGAUGUUCAAUUUGGCCAGGCGCAGGGGCUCACGCCUGUAAUCCUAACACUUUGGGAGGCUGAGGUGGGCAGAUGACUUGAAGUCAGGAGUUCAAGACCAGCCUGACCAAUAUGGUGAAACCCUGUCCCUACCAAAAAUACAAAAAUUAGCUGAGCAUGGUGGUGCGUGCUUGUAGUCCCAGCUACUCUAGAGGCUAGGGCAGGAGAAUCACUUGAAUCCGGGAGGUGGAGGUUGCAGUGAGCUGAGAUUGUACCACUGCACUCCAGCUGGGGCAUCACAGUGAGACUCCAUCUCAAAAAAAAAGAAAAAGAAAAAGAAAUACCUCUCCCACUCUCCCACCUAUCUUGAAGUGAAAACAUACUUAAUCCACAAGGGAAGUCAGACCAGUCUUGACUGAAAAUAUGGGAAGAGAACUGUGUUCAAAGCCAUACAGGGUGAGUAUUCUGUCUGUGCGUGUGAGUAGAAGGCUCACGGCUCCCUGGUCUCUCUUUCUCUUGAACUUCC
Molecule: long non-coding RNA, 1260 nt
Filed under: Homo sapiens (human)
Lineage: Eukaryota; Metazoa; Chordata; Mammalia; Primates; Hominidae
Description: HSALNT0358942
Source: RNAcentral